This 238-nucleotide ribosomal RNA is filed under the name uncultured bacterium. Its description in RNAcentral is "partial 16S ribosomal RNA". It matches the Rfam family "Bacterial small subunit ribosomal RNA", at positions 117 to 353 of the family's 1533-position model. The record is from RNAcentral.
GUGGGUAACCUGCCUCAUACAGGGGAGUAACAGUUAGAAAUGACUGCUAAUACCGCAUAAGCGCACAGUGCUGCAUGGCACAGUGUGAAAAACUCCGGUGGUAUGAGAUGGACCCGCGUCUGAUUAGCUGGUUGGUGAGGUAACGGCUCACCAAGGCGACGAUCAGUAGCCGGCUUGAGAGAGUGAACGGCCACAUUGGGACUGAGACACGGCCCAAACUCCUACGGGAGGCAGCAUG